CCCUUAGAUGAUUUGGGCUGCACGCGCGCUACACUGACCCUAACAAUGAGCAACUGUCUGGCCUGAGAUGGCUGGGUAGCCUUUUCAACCCAUGUCAUGAUUGGGCUAGAUUUUUGUAAGUCUUGAUCUCUAACGAGGAAUCCCUAGUAUGUGUGAAUCAUCAAUCCAUGCAGAUUAUGUCCCUGCCCUUUGUACACACCGCCCGUCGCUCCUACUGAUUGGGUGAUCCGGUGAGCUGUUCGGCCAUAGCAAUGUUUCUUGAGCAGGGCAAAGAAUGUUUCGCAAACCUUGCCACUUAGAGGAAGGAGAAGUCGUAACA
Molecule: ribosomal RNA, 319 nt
Filed under: uncultured eukaryote
Lineage: Eukaryota
Description: partial 18S ribosomal RNA
Rfam family: Eukaryotic small subunit ribosomal RNA
Source: RNAcentral